Molecule: ribosomal RNA, 223 nt
Filed under: uncultured bacterium
Lineage: Bacteria
Description: partial 16S ribosomal RNA
Rfam family: Bacterial small subunit ribosomal RNA
Source: RNAcentral
UACGUAGGGUGCAAGCGUUGUCCGGAAUUAUUGGGCGUAAAGAGCUCGUAGGCGGUUUGUCGCGUCUGCUGUGAAAACUCAGGGCUUAACCCUGAGCCUGCAGUGGGUACGGGCAGACUAGAGUGUGGUAGGGGGAGAUCGGAAUUCCUGGUGUAGCGGUGGAAUGCGCAGAUAUCAGGAGGAACACCGGUGGCGAAGGCGGGCUCUGGGCCUAAGCUGACGC